GUCCCCGUAGCCCAAACCCGGAAGAGGCACCGGCUUAAACCCGGAAUCGGUGCGGGUUCAAAUCCCGCCGGGGACA
Molecule: transfer RNA, 76 nt
Filed under: Mycolicibacterium goodii
Lineage: Bacteria; Bacillati; Actinomycetota; Actinomycetes; Mycobacteriales; Mycobacteriaceae
Also listed under: 1 other name
Description: tRNA-Leu
Rfam family: tRNA
About the family: Transfer RNA (tRNA) molecules are approximately 80 nucleotides in length. Their secondary structure includes four short double-helical elements and three loops (D, anti-codon, and T loops).
Source: RNAcentral